RNAcentral lists this ribosomal RNA (551 nucleotides) under Collichthys lucidus (big head croaker). Its description in RNAcentral is "partial 16S ribosomal RNA". It matches the Rfam family "Bacterial large subunit ribosomal RNA", at positions 589 to 1349 of the family's 2925-position model. The record is from RNAcentral. Lineage: Eukaryota; Metazoa; Chordata; Actinopteri; Sciaenidae.
AGAUUCAAACUCGUACCUUUUGCAUCAUGAUUUAGCUAGAAAACCUCAAGCAAAGAGCACUUUAGUUUGACCGCCCGAAACUACGUGAGCUACUCCAAGACAGCCUAACAACUAGGGCAAACCCGUCUCUGUGGCAAAAGAGUGGGAAGAUCUUUGAGUAGAGGUGACAGACCUAUCGAACCUAGUUAUAGCUGGUUGCCUGAGAAAUGAAUAGAAGUUCAGCCUCUCGGAUUCUCCCCUCACCCCACCUCCCUCCCCCCGACAAUUAAAAGAAACCGAAAGAGUUAGUCAAAGGGGGUACAGCCCCUUUGACACAAGAUACAACUUUUCCAGGAGGGUAAAGAUCACAAUUCAACACCAAGGUAAAAUGUUUAGGUGGGCCUAAAAGCAGCCACCCCAUAGAAUGCGUUAAAGCUCAAACAUAACCACCACCCCCAAUCCUGAUAAUCUUAUCUUAACCCCCUAACCCUACCAGGCCGUUCCAUGCAAUCAUGGAAGCGACCAUGCUAAUAUGAGUAAUAAGAGAAUAGUCAUCUCUCUCCUUGCACAAG